CGAAAAUUACACAAGGAUGAUACCACUCCAACGAUCAAUCCAGACCCUUUGUUAGUUCGUCUUCUCACCAUUUUUUUCGGUUGCUGAAGCAUGUACCAUUAUUUGUAUUGCGUCAUAUAGCCUUGUCUUGCAAGUUUGUGUUGCAUAACUUGCUUGACUUGGUACUGCCUCGACCUCUUCCAUUCCUAAGCCCAAAGACUGGGUGGUUGUUAGACUGCAUGAUAAAUAUUUUAAGUAAUUGUUUUUUAAUAUUGAUGAUUUGAUAUCCACACCAGAAAAAUGUAAAUGGAUCCAUCUAAAUUAGUCAUGAACUUUGCAUCAAGUUCUAUAUUGAUUUGUAUUUCUCAUUCUUAUGCAGCUAUGUCAUUAUAUUCAAACUUUAGCAUUAGAGAAUCAAAUGGCAGUCAAGUUCUAUGAUUGAUCUAUGUGCUUUUCGUUUUUAUGCAAAUUCAGUGUCAUUCUGUUAAAACUUUAGCAUUAGAGAAUCAAGUUUCAGUCCAAUUGGUAGUUGUCUAAUGUCCGUCUGAUUGUUUUUCUUUUGAUACAAAAAACUAUUGCAAAAGGCACACCACUUGUAAAAAUUAUCAAAGAAAAGAGCUUAAUGGAUAAACAAUAGUAAGUAUGUACCUUUUUCAGUCUUGAAAUCGGCAAAGAGAUGCAGAAGCUUGCUUCUGUUUGAGACAAGAAUCUGUAAUUGAAGUGCAAACAGGUGCAACUAAUAAGAAAGGAAAAAACGCACUGCAUACAAAAUAAAAACAUUGAAGCAACUUAUUAUAAAAAUGAUAAACCCCUAACCUUGCUAAACAAAGUGAAC
RNAcentral lists this long non-coding RNA (814 nucleotides) under Capsicum annuum. RNAcentral describes it as "long non-coding RNA (CANN_LNC015094)". Lineage: Eukaryota; Viridiplantae; Streptophyta; Magnoliopsida; Solanales; Solanaceae. The record is from RNAcentral.